This 529-nucleotide ribosomal RNA is filed under the name Shigella sonnei. RNAcentral's name for it is "partial 23S ribosomal RNA". It matches the Rfam family "Bacterial large subunit ribosomal RNA", at positions 2211 to 2739 of the family's 2925-position model. The record is from RNAcentral. Lineage: Bacteria; Pseudomonadati; Pseudomonadota; Gammaproteobacteria; Enterobacterales; Enterobacteriaceae. RNAcentral also lists the same sequence under 1 other name.
UGUUUGAUGUUCUAACGUGGACCCGUGAUCCGGGUUGCGGACAGUGUCUGGUGGGUAGUUUGACUGGGGCGGUCUCCUCCUAAAGAGUAACGGAGGAGCACGAAGGUUGGCUAAUCCUGGUCGGACAUCAGGAGGUUAGUGCAAUGGCAUAAGCCAGCUUGACUGCGAGCGUGACGGCGCGAGCAGGUGCGAAAGCAGGUCAUAGUGAUCCGGUGGUUCUGAAUGGAAGGGCCAUCGCUCAACGGAUAAAAGGUACUCCGGGGAUAACAGGCUGAUACCGCCCAAGAGUUCAUAUCGACGGCGGUGUUUGGCACCUCGAUGUCGGCUCAUCACAUCCUGGGGCUGAAGUAGGUCCCAAGGGUAUGGCUGUUCGCCAUUUAAAGUGGUACGCGAGCUGGGUUUAGAACGUCGUGAGACAGUUCGGUCCCUAUCUGCCGUGGGCGCUGGAGAACUGAGGGGGGCUGCUCCUAGUACGAGAGGACCGGAGUGGACGCAUCACUGGUGUUCGGGUUGUCAUGCCAAUGGCACU